This 465-nucleotide ribosomal RNA is filed under the name uncultured beta proteobacterium. Its description in RNAcentral is "bacterial SSU rRNA". It matches the Rfam family "Bacterial small subunit ribosomal RNA", at positions 198 to 644 of the family's 1533-position model. The record is from RNAcentral. Lineage: Bacteria; Pseudomonadati; Pseudomonadota; Betaproteobacteria.
GGAGGAAAGCAGGGGAUCGCAAGACCUUGCGCUUUUGGAGCGGCCGAUGUCUGAUUAGCUAGUUGGUGAGGUAAAGGCUUACCAAGGCGUCGAUCAGUAGCUGGUCUGAGAGGGCGACCAGCCACACUGGGACUGAGACACGGCCCAGACUCCUACGGGAGGCAGCAGUGGGGAAUUUUGGACAAUGGGGGAAACCCUGAUCCAGCCAUGCCGCGUGAGUGAAGAAGGCCUUCGGGUUGUAAAGCUCUUUCAGCCGGAACGAAACGGUCACAGCUAAUACCUGUGACUACUGACGGUACCGGAAGAAGAAGCACCGGCUAACUACGUGCCAGCAGCCGCGGUAAUACGUAGGGUGCGAGCGUUAAUCGGAAUUACUGGGCGUAAAGCGUGCGCAGGCGGUUUUGUAAGUCAGAUGUGAAAUCCCCGGGCUUAACCUGGGAACUGCGUUUGAAACUACAAAGCUAG